This 608-nucleotide ribosomal RNA is filed under the name Inocybe haemacta. RNAcentral's name for it is "eukaryotic LSU rRNA". The stretch from base 228 to 381 matches the Rfam family "5.8S ribosomal RNA". Lineage: Eukaryota; Fungi; Basidiomycota; Agaricomycetes; Agaricales; Inocybaceae. The record is from RNAcentral.
AAUAAACUUGAACAGGCUGUUUUGCUGGCCCUUCCUUGGUGGGGUAUGUGCACGCUUGUCAUCUUUAUCUCUCCAACUGUGCACAUAUUGUAGACCUUUGGGAGUUGGAUUUGUUUCCGAGUUGGGACUGCUGAGUGAAGUCAGCUUUUCCCUUGCAGGGGUCUAUGUCCUUUAUCACAAACCUUUCAGAGAAACUGUUUAGAAUGAUAUAUUAAAGUUAAAUAUACAACUUUCAGCAACGGAUCUCUUGGCUCUCGCAUCGAUGAAGAACGCAGCGAAAUGCGAUAAGUAAUGUGAAUUGCAGAAUUCAGUGAAUCAUCGAAUCUUUGAACGCAUCUUGCGCUCCUUGGUAUUCCGAGGAGCAUGCCUGUUUGAGUGUCAUUCAAAUUCUCAAACCAUGUUGAUUGUUCUUUCAACAUGGCUUUGGAUGGGUGGGGGUUUGCAGGCCCUUCUUUUUGAGGUCAGCUCCCCUGAAAUGCAUUAGUAGUAUCUGAGCAGAGAAACUACCACMGGUGUGAUAAAUUUAUCUAUGCCUUGGUGAGCUGCAUUGUAACAGAUCAUGCUGCUUAUAACGAGUGUGGUGGUUGAAACCACCCACAUUUGAUGAA